ACUCCUACGGGAGGCAGCAGUGGGGAAUAUUGCACAAUGGGCGCAAGCCUGAUGCAGCCAUGCCGCGUGUAUGAAGAAGGCCUUGGGUUGUAAAGUACUUUCAGCAGUGAGGAAGGUGGGGUAUGUUAAUAGCAUACUCAUUUGUACGUUAGCUGCAGAAGAAGCACCGGCUAACUCCGUGCCAGCAGCCGCGGUAAGUACGGAGGGUGCGAGCGUUAAUCGGAAUUACGUGGCGUAAAGCGCAUGCAGGUGGUUUGUUAAGUCAGAUGUGAAACGCCCGGGGCUCAACCUCGGAAUUGCAUUUGAAACUGGCAAACUAGAGUACUGGUAGAGGGGGUUAGAAUUUCAGGUGUAGCGGUGAAAUGCGUAGAGAUCGUGAAGG
Molecule: ribosomal RNA, 382 nt
Filed under: uncultured bacterium
Lineage: Bacteria
Description: bacterial SSU rRNA
Rfam family: Bacterial small subunit ribosomal RNA
Source: RNAcentral